Rattus norvegicus (Norway rat) is the source of this 3093-nucleotide RNA transcript. It is a transcript of the gene named protein arginine methyltransferase 6, with no coding region annotated. The record is from RefSeq and is marked validated. Lineage: Eukaryota; Metazoa; Chordata; Mammalia; Rodentia; Muridae. The transcript is spliced from 2 exons.
GUCGGCUGCCGGGACCAAGAUGUCGCUGAGCAAGAAAAGAAAGCUUGAGUCGGGGGUCGGCGGCGCAGGAGGGGAGGGAGCUGAGGAGGAAAAUGGCGGGGAGCAGGAGGCAGCCCCGCCACGACCCCGGAGGACCAAGCGCGAGCGGGACCAGCUGUACUACGAGUGCUACUCCGACGUAUCGGUCCACGAGGAGAUGAUCGCCGACCGCGUCCGCACCGACGCCUACCGCCUAGGCAUCCUGAGGAACUGGGCCGCUCUGCGAGGCAAGACCGUGCUGGACGUGGGCGCAGGCACCGGCAUUCUUAGCAUCUUCUGCGCCCAGGCCGGGGCCCGGCGCGUAUACGCUGUGGAGGCCAGCGCCAUCUGGCAACAGGCCCAGGAGGUGGUGCGGCUCAACGGGUUGGAGGACCGCGUGCACAUCCUGCCAGGCCCGGUGGAGACGGUGGAGCUGCCGGAGCAAGUGGACGCCAUCGUAAGCGAGUGGAUGGGCUACGGACUACUGCACGAGUCCAUGCUGAGCUCCGUGCUCCACGCGCGGACCAAAUGGCUGAAGGAGGGCGGUCUCCUCCUGCCAGAUUCCGCUGAGCUCUUCGUGGCCCCGAUUAGCGACCAGAUGCUGGAAUGGCGCUUGGGUUUCUGGAGCCAAGUGAAGCAGCACUAUGGCGUGGAUAUGAGCUGCAUGGAAAGCUUCGCCACGCGCUGCCUCAUGGGCCAUUCGGAGAUCGUGGUGCAGGGUCUGUCCGGAGAGGACGUGCUGGCCCGGCCACAGCGCUUUGCCCAGCUCGAGCUGGCCCGCGCUGGCCUGGAGCAGGAGCUGGAGGCCGGUGUGGGCGGGCGCUUCCGCUGCAGCUGCUAUGGCUCCGCGCCUCUACAUGGUUUUGCCAUCUGGUUUCAGGUAACCUUUCCUGGAGGGGACUCGGAGAAACCUCUGGUGCUGUCCACCUCACCUUUCCACCCGGCCACGCACUGGAAGCAGGCGCUCCUCUACUUGAAUGAGCCGGUGCCGGUGGAACAAGAUACAGACAUUUCUGGAGAGAUCACCCUGCUGCCCUCCCGGGACAACCCCCGGCGUCUGCGCGUACUUCUGCGCUACAAAGUGGGGGACCAUGAGGAAAAGACCAAAGACUUUGCCAUGGAGGACUGAGCGUUGCCUUUUCUCCCAUCUACCUUCUUAGGAAGGUCAGAAGAGAAAGGGAAAUCAAUCUCCUAUGCAAGUAGGGGACGUAUCUGUCUCUUUUACCUCACCACUUCUGAGAAAGGGAGUGACCAGACUUCAUUUGAGGACAUUCUUCUGGCAAUGUUUAUUUUAAAAGCACUGACAGCAUCGCCUUGGCUAUACAUGAAGAGCAACGUAUGCCACGGGGUACCAGAUGAUCCAAAGAAGCACCACAGUCUUUGGGAUGAAGACACCUGGGAAAGAGGAAAGCCUGAGGUGUGUGGACACCCAGGCACUAUCUGAUGUGUUAUGUGGAUUGGGACUGGUAACUGAAACCCUUAGGGCCACAGGCCUGGAUUAUUAGACUCUAGAGAGAGCAUCAUGGUAAAGUCCCACCUACCUCCCUCACACCUUACCUUUAUUUAGCCCUCCCAAAUUUCCCAAUUUUGUCGCUAAUUUAUUAAACCAAUGAGCAUAAUACAUUCUAAAGGUCACUGUGGUAGGUAUUUGGGAUUACAUGCUACUUGAACUCUGCCCAUAAGUAGAUGUCUACACUAAAGGAAGUAAAGGCCAUAAUUUUAGGUUAGUUAGGACCUGGGUGGUUUUAGUGUCAGAAAAGAUGGAUUAUUUGUUUUACACACUAAGUGAAAAAGGUUUCGUAGAUGCUGACAGAAAGUUACAUACAUAAUUCUUCCUGGUUUGGAAAUGUGAUCAUACAUUGUGCAAGGCUAAAUUGGAACCCAGGAUAUAGCUGAGGAUGACUUUGAACUCUUUCCUCCACCUUCCACAUUCUGGAGUUAAUAGCUCUGUACCACUGUGCCCAGCAUAGACCCAGUUUUUGGCUGACCCUUACCCACAAUUCUUGACUUUUCAAAGGUAAACAAAAAUUUACUCUCAUAUUAAUCCCACAUGCUUCACUUAAAAACAGGAGACUAUGUGCCACCUUAAUAGUAACAAGGGCUUUAUUAUUUGAUGAUGACGGGAAAGUGUUUAGUACUAGAAAGGCUCUUAGACCUGCCCAAAAGAAACAUCUGCAGUGUGUAACUUGAGUUUGACAUAGUGGGCACUCAUUUCAACAGCCCUUAUGUUUAUUUCUGUAACAAUAGUCAAAUGGGACACUUUCUAGGGUCUCCAGAAAACUGAAUGCAUGACAGUAGCAAAGACAAGUGAACUCCCUGUCAUUUGGGCAGGGAUGUAAAAGAGACAAGAAAAUGGAGUUCAAGAAAGUGAAUGUGAAAAGCACCUGCUGCGAACAGCUGCCUGCCGUCUUCUUUACUGCCAGCUUUGCUCUUAUCCCCACAGUUUACCUAGUGCUGAGGAAAGAUGGCUCCUAAGGAGCAUUUACUAACAGGCCCCACUCCUCCACAUGUUCAUCUCUGUAUAUGUCUCUCCAUUAAUUUCAUUAUCAACAGCUACAUAAUAGCUAAGCACUGUAAUAACUGAGCACAUCUGCCCUUCAGAGAACAGGGUACAGUGGGAGCAGUAAAGCAGCAUCAGUUGUUCUCAUGCAUUCGUAAGCCUGGAAAUCCUUCCCAGCUCUUAGCUCUGCUGAGUGAGUAUGGAAAGGGUGCUGUCACCCUUUAAGGCUCUCUGAGGAUCAAAGGUCUGAUUCCUAUCAGCAGGAAGAUUGUGAACACCUGAGAAACUCCCAUCUGAUGUUCUAGAAUUAGACAGUAUUCCCCAAAAUACUAGUCUGUUCCAUAAUAGACCAACUAUAUUAAAUAGGUAAUCCCCAGCUACUAAAACAAAGACUCUAAGCCAAGUUUAUGGGUCGUCUGUGUGUCUGUGUGUAUACUGUGUGUAUACUGUGUGCGCGAGUGUGUGCAUGUGCACAUUUGCUUGUAUCUUCCCCAACUUUCUGUGUGAUUUUUAUGCUUCAAUUUGUUUAUGAUUUAUCCUCUCACUUUUAAUAAAUAUUACAUGUAUUUUUUGAA